GACGAACGCUGGCGGCGUGCUUAACACAUGCAAGUCGAACGAGACCUUCGGGUCUAGUGGCGCACGGGUGCGUAACGCGUGGGAACCUGCCCUUAGGUUCGAAAUAACUCCCCGAAAGGGGUGCUAAUACCGGAUAAUGUCUUCGGACCAAAGAUUUAUCGCCUUUGGAUGGGCCCGCGUUGGAUUAGCUAGUUGGUAGGGUAAAAGCCUACCAAGGCGACGAUCCAUAGCUGGUCUGAGAGGAUGAUCAGCCACACUGGGACUGAGACACGGCCCAGACUCCUACGGGAGGCAGCAGUGGGGAAUAUUGGACAAUGGGCGAAAGCCUGAUCCAGCAAUGCCGCGUGAGUGAUGAAGGCCUUAGGGUUGUAAAGCUCUUUUACCCGUGAUGAUAAUGACAGUACCGGGAGAAUAAGCUCCGGCUAACUCCGUG
Molecule: ribosomal RNA, 433 nt
Filed under: uncultured bacterium
Lineage: Bacteria
Description: partial 16S ribosomal RNA
Rfam family: Bacterial small subunit ribosomal RNA
Source: RNAcentral